This 29-nucleotide non-coding RNA is filed under the name Rattus norvegicus (Norway rat). Lineage: Eukaryota; Metazoa; Chordata; Mammalia; Rodentia; Muridae. The record is from RNAcentral.
UUGGAAGUGUGACUGGAGGUCACAGCAGU